CCCAGCCACCACAUCGGGCUCAGCAUCGACCCAGCGGUCAAGGCGGUGAUGGGCAUCUUCAGCCUGGUGACAGGUCGCAGCCCGGCGUUCGCGGUUCACGGGGGGAGCAGCAGGGAGAACCUGGCGCUGCAGAACGUGCAGGUGGGCCUCCCAGGCGGGCCGCAGGGAACCCCGGGGACGGCCGGUGCUGGGGUCGGCAUGCCUCGGACGCACGGGUCGUGAAGCCUGGGGACAAGGACGGUGGAGCGUGUGCACCGGGGCGCGGGUUUGUGAGCGUGACGUGUGAGUGUGUACAAGCUUAGGCCGUCUCCGCAUCUCCGGGGAGCGGCUCACACGUGGCCCUGCCUCCCGGGCGGCUGCUGGGCUGCGGCUGCUGGACCCUGUCCAGGGUCCCUGUCCCCUUCCUGCGGGCAGGGGUGACCUUCCCCGGUGGUGACACGAGGGGCCAAGCUCUCUCCCAGCUGGAUCCCCAGCCCGGUCUCCCCACCGCCCCAGCUCAUGGCUCCAGCUCUGGUCCUUCUGUCCCCAUGGCCAAGCACCCAAGCCCGGCCUUGAGGGGAGGGGGGGCACCCCUGGCUCCCGACUCUGGACACCAGAAGCUCCUGUGUCACGGUAACUUCCCUGUCUUCCUGAGGUGGCUGGGAGGUGGUGUCAGCACACGGGGUCCCUCACGCCCUGCAUAGGUGACGGUCCCCCCCGUCGUCCAGCCCCGGUGACGGUCCCCCCUGUCGUCCAGGCACGCGUGAGGAUGGUCGUGGCUUACCUCUUUGCCCAGCUCAGCCUCUGGUCUCGGGGCGCUCCAGGCGGACUUCUCGUGCUCGGAUCUGCCAACGUGGACGAGAGGUACGUGCGGCCCUUGCCCGGACAGGUCCCCUGCUCGACCCGAGGCUGCCCGGCGGCGUCUGUCCCCCACUCUCUGCCCUGGGUCCUGCUGGGCCUGUGAGUGCAGCCGAGGGCCUGAGAGGACACGGCCGUCUCUCCGGCCUGGGAGUCCCGGCCUCGCCUGCAGACCCGCCCCUGUUUCCACCACCAGCCGUCCACUCAGCGGGCUGGGGUGAUGCGGGGGAGCCCCACUCGGGGGCUUUUAAUCCUCCCAGUCUGACUCCUGGAGGCGGGGCCUGACACCCUGGCCUUGUUCCCCAGUGGGAGCCCGGCCGGGGGCGGGUGAGUGUUGGGUCUUCCUCUCGAAAAGUGGGGGGAGGUCAGCCGUGUGAGUGGGCAAGGGGACAUGGGCCAAAUGGGGCUGCAGCACAGGUGUGUGACCUGCCAGUCCAGGCGUAGGUAAGCCAGGGAGCAGGAAGCAGCUGCUUUUGAUGCCGGGAAUUAAACGUGAACUUGGGGAGUGUGGAGAAGCGUGCCUGGCAAGGUAGGGCGAGGUCGGACCCUGGAAGGCCUUGUAAGGUGAGGACGCCCCGAGGAGAGGCAGACGGUCGAGUGUGUGGUCGGCAGUGACCUUGGAAGUGGGUGGGCUUGGGAUGGGGUGGAGAGCUGCGGUCAUCCGGUGGUCCAGCGAGAGAAUGUGGGGGGGAGGCAGGGGGAGGGCUGGACCCAUUGAUGGGGUGUGUGAGGGUCGUGGGGCGGAUGGGACAAGUGGCCACAGAUGGCUGCAAAACAGAAAUGAAUUUCUCCCUUCCACCUGACCUCAGGGGCUUCAAAUCAAAGUGUCGCAGGGCUAGGGGUUCCUACUGUCGCUCGGCAGGUGAGUGACCUGACACUGCCCGUGAGGAUGCAGGGCCCAUCCCUGGCCUCACUCAGUGGGUUAGCGGCACAGGUCACAGAUGUGGCCUGGAUCUGGUGUGGCUGUGGCUGUGGCUGUCAUGUAGGCCAGCAGCUGCAAUUCCGAUUUGACCCCUCGCUUGGGGACUUCCACACGCCACGGGUUCCACCCUAAAAAGGCAGAAAAAUGCCGCAGAGCUGGAUCCUUCUGGAGGCUCCAGGGGAGAGUCUGUUCGUUGUCUUCCAGCUCCUGAUGCCCUGGCCCGAGGCCGCUCCCUCUCCCUGCAAAGCCAGUGGUGCAGGGUCCGGGCUCUGUGGUCACAGCUCCCACUGACUGACACCACCCACCCCCGCCACUAACUCUCCCGUUUUUAAGGACCCUUGUGAAUGCACUUAGGCCUCCCCCGUAACCCAGGAUAGUCACCCCAUCACGAGGCCCUUCACCUAAUCUCAUCUGCAACGUCCCAUCUGCCCUGUAUGCAUGUGUGUGUAUGUGUGUGUGUGUGUGCGCGCGCGCGCACGCGCGUGCGUGUGCGUGCAGGUUCCAGGGGUCAGGAUGUGAGCAUCUUUGGGGACAGCUCCAUCCACCACCGGAGGUGACGAGGAGCGGGGAGGUGGCCCUGCCGCUGUCGGCUCAGGGUCCAUGUGCCUCUCAGGGACCCCUGUCCCUCAGCUCCCCGCACUGCUGGACCUGGCCCUCACGUCCCAGACGGGCUGCUUCCCGCUGGCUGCUGGUCAUUCCCAAAGCGGACUUGACCUUGCCCAGGUCUCACAACCACGGGGACGGUGGGGAGUCAGACACAGUAACUUC
This 2527-nucleotide long non-coding RNA is filed under the name Sus scrofa (pig). RNAcentral's name for it is "lncRNA (ENSSSCG00005007928.1)". The record is from RNAcentral. Lineage: Eukaryota; Metazoa; Chordata; Mammalia; Artiodactyla; Suidae.